GACGAACGCUGGCGGCGUGCUUAACACAUGCAAGUCGAACGGAAAGGCCCUGCUUUUGUGGGGUGCUCGAGUGGCGAACGGGUGAGUAACACGUGAGUAACCUGCCCUUGACUUUGGGAUAACUUCAUGAAACUGGGGCUAAUACCGGAUAUGAGCUCCUGCUGCAUGGUUGGGGUGUUAAAGUUUCGGCGGUUGGGGAUGGACUCGCGGCUUAUCAGCGUGUUGGUGGGGUAGUGGCUUACCAAGGCUUUGACGGGUAGCCGGACUGAGAGGGUGACCGGCCACAUUGGGACUGGGAUGCGGCCAAGACUGCUACGGGAGGCAGCAGUGGGAAAUAUUGCGCAAUGGGCGGAAGCAUGAUGCAGCAACGCCGCGUGGGGGAUGACGGCCUUCGGGUUGUAAACCGCUUUCGCCUGUGACGAAGAGUGAGUGACGGUAAUGGGUCAAGAAGCACCGGCUAACUACGUG
Molecule: ribosomal RNA, 468 nt
Filed under: uncultured bacterium
Lineage: Bacteria
Description: partial 16S ribosomal RNA
Rfam family: Bacterial small subunit ribosomal RNA
Source: RNAcentral